This 240-nucleotide ribosomal RNA is filed under the name uncultured bacterium. RNAcentral describes it as "partial 16S ribosomal RNA". It matches the Rfam family "Bacterial small subunit ribosomal RNA", at positions 923 to 1171 of the family's 1533-position model. The record is from RNAcentral.
GCACAAGCAGUGGAGUAUGUGGUUUAAUUCGACGCAACGCGAAGAACCUUACCAAGUCUUGACAUCCCUUGACGAACGUAGAAAUACGUUUUCUCUUCGGAGCAAGGAGACAGGUGGUGCAUGGUUGUCGUCAGCUCGUGUCGUGAGAUGUUGGGUUAAGUCCCGCAACGAGCGCAACCCUUAUGGUCAGUUACUACGCAAGAGGACUCUGGCCAGACUGCCGUUGACAAAACGGAGGAA